Molecule: non-coding RNA, 658 nt
Organism: Cinara cedri
Lineage: Eukaryota; Metazoa; Arthropoda; Insecta; Hemiptera; Aphididae
Source: the annotation of a GenBank genome assembly
UUAUAUCUUUAUAUAGAUAUUUUAAAAUGUAAUUUUCACGAUGCUAACAAAUACCUGCAAUAUGAUGCACUUUUCAAAUACUUGAAAAGUAAUUUUCGCAGACAUUUUGGUGGUGGUAGGAAACGGGUUAUUAGUAACUUAACACCCUCUCCCGGCUUUGACGUCGCUGGUUAAUACAACAAAAGUCCACAGUAUAUAUGUUGUUAGAUUCUAAUUUUCUCGAAAUUAUUACUUUAAAUCUAAAACUGUUAUUAUUUAGUUAUUAUCAGGCAUUUUGUUUUUAAAAGGUGUUACAAUUGUGUAUACUUAAUAUAAUAUAUAAUAUUAGGUAGUUAAUAAGAAUAACAUGCAUCAGGUUUCAUAGCGAAUUAAGGCUUAUAAAACUACAAAUCAUAAUAUUCGUUACACGUUAAGUACGAUAUCAUACAAGUUUAUAUAGUUAUCUUCAUUAUCAACAAUUAUUAAUCUAAUAAUAGAUGUUAUAACAACGUCACUAAUAACUGAUUUUGUAAAGCGUAGAACCACCAUUAUUAUUUGGACAUUUUUAACGUAGUUAUAGCUAAAUUAGGUCAAUCACCCUUUUCUUUUAUGUAAUGACUGAGGAGUUACUUUAGAGAGGUGUUUUUUUUGAUUUUCCUAGGAGUUUUCCCAAUAAAUG